UAGUUAUCAACAAAAUGCCAAAACGAAUUAGGUCUUUUUUUUCCCAUCACUUCGUCAGUCCUUCCCCUUCAAAUGGCUAAAGCUCCAGGUCUCUUUCACCUUUGACAUAGGCUCCUCUCCAUUUUCGUACAAGCUUUAAUAACUACUUCAAUUCUCCUCAGUUCUGUCUCUUCGUGGCAGAUUCAGUCAAGAAUAGGCCAAAAGAUUGGUGAUUUUUAAAUUUGUUAUAGAGAAGAAGUUUGAUUCAAAAUUCAACGACUAUUUACUCCUUUGAAUCCCACCCAAAUUUCAAUAAGAGGAACCUAGUUCAUCACCAUAAAUGACAGAUCUUACAUUCAUUUUCAACGAAGCUUUUCUUCCCCUGUAUCAACUUGAAACACUCAUUCCUGCUCUCAAAAAUUUUCUUUUGUACUCUUUCGAUCUCCGCUAAAAACACUAGUUUCGAGGUUACUCAAGUUUGUUUUUGUUCGAACAUAGCCCUUCGACCAAAGCACCUUUUUUCACUUCCUGACAACAGAUUUCGGUCGUUUAAUGCUCAUUCGAGACGACUUGAAGAAGGCUUGGAUAUUCUCUAUCAUCCAAGUAGUGUAGGUGUUGAUGACUAGAGAUGUCUCCUAAGUGGAGAGCUUGGAUAAAUUUCCCAAGUUCAAGUAAAGGAACCAUUGUGAUUCAAGGGUUGCCUAUGUCAAAAAAUGUUCUUUAAGUUUAUGUAAUAGAUCAGACUUAUAUUUUAUGUUGUUAUGAGUCGUGUCCCUAUUCAAUUCAAUUGAGUUGUGUCUUAAGUUGUAAAAUGAAA
Molecule: long non-coding RNA, 796 nt
Organism: Solanum lycopersicum (tomato)
Lineage: Eukaryota; Viridiplantae; Streptophyta; Magnoliopsida; Solanales; Solanaceae
Source: RefSeq, a predicted model, not a curated record